RNAcentral lists this ribosomal RNA (448 nucleotides) under uncultured bacterium. RNAcentral's name for it is "bacterial SSU rRNA". It matches the Rfam family "Bacterial small subunit ribosomal RNA", at positions 355 to 796 of the family's 1533-position model. The record is from RNAcentral.
UGGGGAAUAUUGGACAAUGGGGGCAACCCUGAUCCAGCAAUGCCGCGUGUGUGAAGAAGGCCUUCGGGUUGUAAAGCACUUUAGGUGGGGAGGAACGUCUCAUAUUUAAUAGAUAUGAGGGUGACGUUACCCACAGAAUAAGCACCGGCUAACUCUGUGCCAGCAGCCGCGGUAAUACAGAGGGUGCGAGCGUUAAUCGGAAUUACUGGGCGUAAAGGGCGCGUAGGUGGUUAGGUAAGUUGUUUGUGAAAUCCCUGGGCUCAACCUAGGAAUUGCAGGCAAGACUGUUUAACUAGAGUACGGUAGAGGGAAGUGGAAUUUCCGGUGUAGCGGUGAAAUGCGUAGAUAUCGGAAGGAACACCAGUGGCGAAGGCGGCUUCCUGGACUGAUACUGACACUGAGGCGCGAGAGCGUGGGGAGCGAACAGGAUUAGAUACCCGCGUAGUCC